AUAGCCACUCCCCAUGUAGCCACCACCUGUCCCCUGUUCUCCGCUAGCACUACCACCAGAACUAGGUGCACUUCCAGCACGGCCACCAGCAGCCCCAUAUCCCCCAGAAUAAGAACCAUCACUCCCACCAUAGUUACCAUAUCCAAAACCUUGACUUCCAUAUCCAGAAGCGCCACUUGGAGAUUGACCCAUUGGUCCAGAAACACCAGCACCACCCGGAGCAUUCCAAGGACCUGUAGCUCCAUAGGCUGCAUUUGAACCAUAGCCUGAAGCACCAUAUCCAGAAGGAGUUUGGUUGUUCCAUUGGCUUUUCAUAGCACCAGGUGGGCCACUUACAUAACCAGCAUUAGGAGCAUUCGGGUUUCCAUACGCCCCAGCAGGACCGCCAAAUCCAGUAUUGGCACUUCCAUAACCACCAACACCAUAACUCCCAUAACCACCAUAACCAACAGCACUAUUUGCUGCUCCAUAGCCAUAACCUGGUGCACCAUAGCCAGAAUAUGGUGGGAAACCACCACCAGUGGUCUGAGGUGGCAUGAAUCUAUUACCAUCCAUUCUACCUUCAUAUGCACUUGUAUUAGCACCAGAAGCACCAUAGCCUUGGUAGCCUCCACUACGGCCACCACCACCAGGAUUUGCAUCUUUAGGGAGGGCUCGUUUCACCUCUACAAGCUUACCAUUCAAAUCAUGGAAGGUCUUAUGUAAAACUCGAUCAACUGCAUCUUCAGUGUCAAAGGAUAUGAAUCCAAACCCACGGGGACGUUGAGUAUUUUGGUCAU
This 779-nucleotide long non-coding RNA is filed under the name Vitis vinifera (wine grape). RNAcentral describes it as "long non-coding RNA (VVIN_LNC002118)". The record is from RNAcentral. Lineage: Eukaryota; Viridiplantae; Streptophyta; Magnoliopsida; Vitales; Vitaceae.